GAAUGGAUAAUAUUUCAGUAAUUGCCAUUAGUUCCAUCUAAACGUGCAAACUGGCCGGACGUUAACUAACUUCGAAAAUAAAAGAAAAUGUUAGCUAAAAUAUUUCUACUUCAAGUGAUUUUUAUCAUAAAUUGCAUUUUGCCAAACCGUGCUUUAGGUUCUUCUGGGAGUGUUUGUUUCAAUUUAGAGGACACCGAAAUCGUAAAGCAACUUGUCAAUGAUGUCAGUGAAAUAAAGGACACAAUGGAUAAUCUAAAUGUGAGCAAACAAGUGAAGAAUAAAGGCA
Long non-coding RNA from Musca domestica (house fly), 286 nucleotides. RefSeq lists it as uncharacterized. The record is from RefSeq and is a predicted model, not a curated record. Lineage: Eukaryota; Metazoa; Arthropoda; Insecta; Diptera; Muscidae. The transcript has 3 exons.